UUUCUUGUAAUUAUCUAGGAGAUCUGCCCUGCCGCCUGAAAAUAUUUUGAAGGGCCGCACUAUUUUGACUGUGCAAAGGUAGCAUAAUCAUUAGUCUUUUAAUUAAAGGCUCGUAUGAAUGGUUGGAUGAGGUAAAUUCUGUUUUAUGUUAAUUGAUAUCGAAUCUAGAUUUUAAGUAAAAAUACUUAAAUGUUAUUAAGGGACGAGAAGACCCUAUAGAGUUUAAUAAAUGUAGUAAUUAAUUGAGUUAAAGUUUAAUUUUUGGUUUUUAUGUAAUUUAUUUAAUUGGGGUGAUUGGAAGAUAAAAUAAACUUUUCUUUAUAUUUAAUAAAUUAAUUAGUUGUAUGAUCCAUAUUUAAUGAUUAAAAGAUUAAAUUACCUUAGGGAUAACAGCAUAAUUCUUUUUAAGAGUUCAUAUCGAAAAAAGAGAUUGUGACCUCGAUGUUGGAUUAAGAUUAAUUAUGGGUGCAGAUGUUCAAUAACUAGGUCUGUUCGACCUUAAAAAUCUUACAUGAUCUGAGUUCAAACCGGAG
RNAcentral lists this ribosomal RNA (533 nucleotides) under Tenodera aridifolia. Its description in RNAcentral is "partial 16S ribosomal RNA". It matches the Rfam family "Bacterial large subunit ribosomal RNA", at positions 1821 to 2621 of the family's 2925-position model. Lineage: Eukaryota; Metazoa; Arthropoda; Insecta; Mantodea; Mantidae. The record is from RNAcentral.